Molecule: long non-coding RNA, 3395 nt
Organism: Callithrix jacchus (white-tufted-ear marmoset)
Lineage: Eukaryota; Metazoa; Chordata; Mammalia; Primates; Cebidae
Source: RefSeq, a predicted model, not a curated record
GCAGUUAUAGAAUCAGAAACUCGCUGAGGCUUCUGGGAAUCUACUGAAGAUUGAGUCCCACCCCUGCCUGUCUCGGAGGUCUCUCGCGGUAGUGGAUCCUUCGCGCGGGUCCUUGCUGGGGAAUGUACGUUACAGAAAUAGGUUUGUAGGUGCAGCCCAUGAGAAUGUUCCAGUGAAAUGCUACAUUCAAAGAAGUGCUGUCCACCCCAGAAGAUCCCAGAGGAUGCAAUUCUGGCUGUGCUGGGAAGUGCUAAAGUUCCCUCCAUAUGUCACUCCGGAGAAGGAGCAGCAAAGCAGCCAUGUUGAGUUCCUCUCUCAACCUUGGGCAUCAUGGACGAUGAGAUGGAGUCUUUUAUGUUGCCCAGACCGAACUCAAACUCCUGUGCUCAGGUGAUCUUCCCACAUCGGCCACUCGAAGUAUCGGGAUUACAGGCAUGAACCACUGCACUCAGCCUUAUUUGGCGUCUUUUAAAAUAAAUAUUCUGAGAAUCAUGUAAAGAUACUUCACUGAUUCCAUAUGUGGCUAGCUGAUUCUUUGGAUAUGGGUGGGUCCUUAAUCACAACAGUAAUUCUAAAUCAAAAUACUUUGUUGGAUUUCUUGGCUUGUUUCAUGAGGACAGCUAAUUAAAAUGUUGUUUAUACACUAAGUUGGUAAGCUCAACUGUGCUAGACAGAACUGAAACCAGAGAGGGCAAGAUCUUGUCUAACUUAGUGCAAUCUCCUCAUUUAUAACCUAAGAGAGCAAGGCACAAGGAAGAGAGCACCCCAUAUCCUUGAAGUCAUUGAAUUCUUUCUCUAAAUCCUAGUUCUGCAAUUUACUAGCAAGUCAAGCAAGUUACUUAACCAUUCUGAGUCUCCACUUUCUCACUGAUAAAAUGGGGAUGUUACCAUAUCUUGCAUGUUUAUUGCAAGAAUUAAAUAAGAUAAUAUACAUCAAACACCACAAUCAGCAUAGGCAUUUACUGUUUUUUUUUUGUUGUUGUUGUUUUUUUUGGAGACAGUGUUGCUCUGUUGCCAGGUGCCAGGCUGGAGUGCAGUGGCACGAUCUCAAUUCACUGCAACCUCUGCCUCCUGGGUUCAAGCAAUUCUCCUGCCUCAGCCUCCCAAAUAGCUGGGACUACAGGCAUGCACCACCACGCCCAGCUAAUUUUUGUAUUUUUAGUAGAGACGGGGUUUCACCAUGUUGGCCAGGAUGGUCUUGAUCUCCUGACCUCGUGAUCCGCCUGCCUCGGCUUCUCAAAGUUCUGGGAUUACAGACGUGAGCCACUGAACCUAGCCGGCAUUUACUAUUUUAAUUUUUUCGAGAUGGAAUUUUGCUCUUGUCGCCCAUUGGAGUGCAAUGGUAAAAUCUUGGCUCACUGUAACCUCCCCAUCCCUGGUUUAAGUGAUUCUCCUGCCUCAGCCUCCCGAGUAGCUGGGAUUACAGGCGCCUGCGACCAUGCCAAGCUAAUUUUUGUAUUUUUGUUUUGUUUUGUUUUUGAGAUGAAGUCUCACUCUGUCAUCCAGACUGGAGUGCAGUGGUACAAUGUCGGCUCACUGCAACCUCUGCCCCCUGGGUUCAAGUGAUUCUCCUGCCUCCUCCUCCCAAGUGGCUGGGAUUAAAGGUGUGUGCCACCACACCUGGCUAAUUUUUGUAUUUUUGGUAGAGCGGGGUUUCACCAUGUUGGUCAGGCUGGUCUUGAACUCCUAAACUUGUGAUUCACCCACCUCGGCCUCCCAAAGUGCUGGGAUUAUUAGGCAUGAGCCAUCGCACCUGGCCUAGGCAUUUACUAUUGCUUCUUAUUUCAUCCCUUUAAAUGUAAUCUUGCAAUCAACAUUGUUUUCCUUUUUACUGACGUCCUUAGAGUCCUUCACAUCUGAACAAUGUUUUUUUGGAAAACUCUACCUAGCGCAUAGAUGAUCGGGUCUUUUGGGUCUUACCGUGUAAAAUGUUUGCUUUCUUCAUGAACCUCCAUCUCGGAGCUUUUAAAUUCAUUUAAUUCUUUUCUUAUGGCAGCCUGUGGAGUAGAAACAAAAAUGUUUCAGUUUCUUCUGCCUGCUUUGUACAGCAGUGUAACUUGCCAUUUUUCUCUACUGUGUUUAACUGUGAUACCAUUUGUCUCAUAAUAAACCUAAAAUUUUGAGUUUAGUCAAAAUACUUGAAAAUCUGAAAGAGAUAUUAUAGUUUCAUAGUUUUUUUUUUUUGUUUUUGUUUUUUAAAGACAGAGUCUUGCUGUGUCAUCCAGGCUGAAGUGCAGUGGUACUUCAACGAGCAAUCUCAGUUCAUUGCAACCUCCACCUCCUGGGUUCAAACAAUUCUCUUACCUCAGCCUCCUGAGUAACUGGGAUUACAGGUGCAUGUCACCAUGCUCGGUUAAUUUUUGUAUUUUCAGUAGAGAUGGGGUUUCACCAUGUUGGCCAAGCUGAUCUGGAACUCUUGACCCCAAGAGACCCACCCACUUUGGCCUCUCAAAGUGCAGGGAUUACAAGCGUGAGCCACUGUACCUGGCCAGUUUUGUUUUGUUUUUUUUUUUUUGAGAUGGAGACUCACUGUGUUGCACAGGUUGGAGUGUAGUCAUGUGAUCUCCACUCACUGCAACCUCUGCCUCCAGGGUUCAAGCAAUUCUCUGCCUCAGCCUCCUGAGUAGCUAGAAUUACAGGGACCUGCCACCAUGCCCAGCUAAUUUUUUUGUAUUUUUAAUAUUUUUUUGUAUUUUUGUAUUUUUAGUAUUUCACCAUCUUGGCCAGGCUAGUCUUGAACUCCUGAUCUCAUGAUCCACCCACCUUGGCCUCCCAAAGUGCUGAGAUUACAGGCAUGAGCCACUGUGUCCACCCCUAAUUUUUUAUUUUUUUUUGAGAUGGAGUCUGGCUUUCUGCCCAGGCUGGAGUGCAAUGGUAUGAUCUUGGCUCACUGCAACCUCCACCUCCUGGGUUCAAGCAAUUUUCCUGCUUUAGCCUCCUGUGUAGCUGGGAUUACAGGUGCAUGCCAUCACACCCAGCUAAUUUUUGUAUUUUUAGUAUAGACAGGGUUUCACCAUGUUGGCCAGGCUGGUCUUGAACUCCUUACCUCAAGUGAUCCCUCUGGCUUGGCCUCCCAAAGUGCUGGGAUUACAGGCAUAAGCAACCACGUCUGGCCAGCUUUUAUAGUUUUUCACAGCAUUAUAAAAAUGAAAUAUGGGUAAUUACUAAAAUAUGUAGCCCAAACUCCCUCUAACCAAACAACCACUGGUUAAAAUGUACUUAUUUCUUCCAGUAUUUUUGUUCUGUGAUACAGCAGGGAUUUUCUUUCUUUCAGUAUUGGUGGUGGAGUUACCAAAACAUUAUACUGAGUUAGUAUAACAUUCUGACUUGUACAACUUUUGUAUCUUGAUUUGAAAUUUAGUAUUAUAUUAAAACUAGAAGCUUUGUUUAUGGUU